This is a small nucleolar RNA of Bison bison bison, 110 nucleotides long. Lineage: Eukaryota; Metazoa; Chordata; Mammalia; Artiodactyla; Bovidae. The record is from Ensembl.
GAUCUCUGGUCUUUGCUUAAUCACAUCCUGUGUGUGGUUUGCGUGCUUUCAGAGAGAGAGGAAGGCCCUUCUAAUACACGACAGACUGGCUGUACAGACAGAUUAGAGAA